Molecule: transfer RNA, 73 nt
Filed under: Aeriscardovia aeriphila
Lineage: Bacteria; Bacillati; Actinomycetota; Actinomycetes; Bifidobacteriales; Bifidobacteriaceae
Also listed under: 1 other name
Description: tRNA-Ala
Rfam family: tRNA
About the family: Transfer RNA (tRNA) molecules are approximately 80 nucleotides in length. Their secondary structure includes four short double-helical elements and three loops (D, anti-codon, and T loops).
Source: RNAcentral
GGGGCUAUAGCGCAGUUGGUAGCGCAUCUGCUUUGCAAGCAGAGGGUCGCCGGUUCGAACCCGGCUAGCUCCA